RNAcentral lists this ribosomal RNA (1386 nucleotides) under Triticum aestivum (bread wheat). RNAcentral's name for it is "partial small subunit ribosomal RNA". Lineage: Eukaryota; Viridiplantae; Streptophyta; Magnoliopsida; Poales; Poaceae. The record is from RNAcentral.
AUGGACAAGGGGUCGAUCCCGUCGGAGAAUGAAGACUUGGUAGACGCUCUCCGUCGUCACCGUGAGAUCCUGAGAUGGGAGACGGAUCUCCUGAGGAUGGAGAUCACGUCCCGGGAUCUGGCGACGAUGACCGGAAAGAAGGCUUAUCUAAAGCGCCAUCAUGCCGCCAGCGAUGGGAGAUCAAUAUCACCUCAGUUGGUCGAUCACAUGUCCCUCCACAGGAUCAAAGAAAUCAAACCGGUGAGUUUGCCCUACCUGGUGGAUAAUCAUCAAGAAGCCCUGGAUCUGCUCUUGCACGAGGCGCACAAAUUGGCCUACCGGAUCCAUUCUCUGAGGAAAGAAUUCAGUGCCACCAUCCCCUUGGAGAAGCUCAGAUUAUUCCAUCUCCUGUCGCAAGAAUGUCUGAGGAUCUCCAAAACCAUAGCCACGCAUGGAUCGCCAAUUUCUUGUGAAUCUUCUGAGGAUGCUGAAAUUUCUCUUUUCAAAGAGCGUCGUAACGGCUGGGAAUCUACUUGGGGCAGUCCGGUGUUACGGUGUGGCAGCUUCAAUGAUAUAACCACACUGUCCCCUAUGUACUAUACGCACUCUGCACCUCGUGUCAUUGAAUCCUCUCGUUACAUCACCAAGGCCUUGCAGAUCUACUCCUUCAAAAUCUUUGACCUAAAUGAGAACUUGAAGUGGCCACUCUAUGUGUACGGUGUGGUGGCUGCUCGAGACGCUGUGGACUUUAACCGCAACCUUCUCUUCUCCUGCUCCAGGGCUAACUGCCAAGUAGUCACAGAAAAGGAUCCUUUUUUGCACCUGACUGGCCCUUCUCGUGCAAUUGUCGCUGACGAACCUGUUGACUUCGAAGUCGAGCUAAAGAUAAAAUUUGGAACAGAUCAGUCCCAGGAUAUAGCAUUGAUCAGUGCUACUAACCACUACUCUGGAGGUGAUGCUGCUUUUUUCUCUGGCCGCUCUUGUUCGGCAACAUUGAGGCUUGAGACAGUUCCUAGAGCGGCCCAGGCAACUAUAUUGUCUAUUCGAGUGGUUGGAGGAGUGUCUCUUUUCGAAUUUGGAGGCCGGGUUGCUUGCUCGUUCUCUACUGAAGAGUAUGUUGAUCCCACAUGCGAGCAAGUUGUGCUGGUUGAGUCUGCUGAAAAGAUUCCUGAGGAUGAUGGUUACCUUACACUGUCAAGGAAGGUUGUUACGGCAGGACUACAAGGAGGAUUGCAAGUUGCCAUACAAGCCUAUGGGGGAUCUGACCGUCCAUCCGUAUCCGGUCUUCUUUACUUCCCUUCCCAGUAUUGCAGGGUAAGUCGGCGCACAUGCUUGGUCGGUGGCUUUGAGGUGGAGGUAACUGUUGCUUGGUCGUGGUUUGUACAGGACAAGAUGGAAAUCUUGUGA